Molecule: ribosomal RNA, 265 nt
Filed under: uncultured prokaryote
Description: partial 16S ribosomal RNA
Rfam family: Bacterial small subunit ribosomal RNA
Source: RNAcentral
UACGUAGGGUACAAGCGUUGUCCGGAAUUAUUGGGCGUAAAGAGCUCGUAGGCGGUUCGUCGCGUCUGCUGUGGAAACGCAAGGCUCAACCUUGCGCGUGCAGUGGGUACGGGCGGACUAGAGUGUAGUAGGGGAGUCUGGAAUUCCUGGUGUAUCGGUGAAAUGCGCAGAUAUCAGGAGGAACACCGGUGGCGAAGGCGGGACUCUGGGCUGUAACUGACGCUGAGGAGCGAAAGCAUGGGGAGCGAACAGGAUUAGAUACCCU